GAUUAGAUACCCUAUUAUUUUAAAACAUACUAAGGUAGUACUAAAUAUGAUUUUCAAACCUAAAGAAUAUGGCGGUGUUUUAUUAUAAUUAAAGGAACCUGUUUAUUAAUCGAUAAUCCACGAAAAUCUCACUUAAAUUUCAAAGUUUGUAUACCGUCGUCUAAAAUAAUAUCUAAAAAUUUUAUUACCAAAUAUACAAAAUAAAAUGUCAGAUCAUGGUGCAGCAAUAUUUAAGAUUAAAUUGGUUACAUUCUAUAAUCUAUCGACAUUGUUUGAAUUUAAAACUCAUUAAAGUAGGAUUUAAAUGUAAUUAAAGACUAUAAAUUUAUAAUGAAUAUUUCCAAACAUGUACAUAUCGCCCGUC
This 364-nucleotide ribosomal RNA is filed under the name Mesamphisopus capensis. Its description in RNAcentral is "partial 12S ribosomal RNA". Lineage: Eukaryota; Metazoa; Arthropoda; Malacostraca; Isopoda; Amphisopidae. The record is from RNAcentral.